GACGAACGCUGGCGGCGUGCCUAAUACAUGCAAGUAGAACGCUGAAGGAGGAGCUUGCUUCUCUGGAUGAGUUGCGAACGGGUGAGUAACGCGUAGGUAACCUGCCUGGUAGCGGGGGAUAACUAUUGGAAACGAUAGCUAAUACCGCAUAAUAGUAGAUGUUGCAUGACAUUUGCUUAAAAGGUGCAAUUGCAUCACUACCAGAUGGACCUGCGUUGUAUUAGCUAGUUGGUGAGGUAACGGCUCACCAAGGCGACGAUACAUAGCCGACCUGAGAGGGUGAUCGGCCACACUGGGACUGAGACACGGCCCAGACUCCUACGGGAGGCAGCAGUAGGGAAUCUUCGGCAAUGGACGGAAGUCUGACCGAGCAACGCCGCGUGAGUGAAGAAGGGUUUCGGAUCGUAAAGCUCGGUUGUAAGAGAAGAACGAGUGUGAGAGUGGAAAGUUCACACUGUGACGGUAUCUUACCAGAAAGGGACGGCUAACUACGUG
This 495-nucleotide ribosomal RNA is filed under the name uncultured bacterium. RNAcentral's name for it is "partial 16S ribosomal RNA". It matches the Rfam family "Bacterial small subunit ribosomal RNA", at positions 28 to 507 of the family's 1533-position model. The record is from RNAcentral.